RNAcentral lists this long non-coding RNA (2414 nucleotides) under Capsicum annuum. RNAcentral's name for it is "long non-coding RNA (CANN_LNC020568)". The record is from RNAcentral. Lineage: Eukaryota; Viridiplantae; Streptophyta; Magnoliopsida; Solanales; Solanaceae.
UGCUCAAAGUGGAAGUUAAUUGUUGAAAAUUAAUAAAUGGUGCUAAAAAAUUAAUUAAUGGUGCUAAAAAAUUAAUUUAAGGACAAAAAGUUAAUAAAACAUGUGGAAAAAAAUAUAGAAGCAUGUUGUAAAGAAAUAGAUUAAGGUUUGAAAAUAUGUUAAAAGCUAUAAUACAUGCCAUGAAUAAAAUAAAAUGUUCGACAAUAAUUUACUAGGCCGAAGGUCAAUUAAAGCAUCUGGAAUGUUAUUUCUAGGUGAUAAAACCAAUUUGUUAUUAAUUCUAAAUUAACAAUUUGUCUAAGUAAGAGCAAAAUCACAUAGUCCUAAGCGAUGUUUACCUACGAUGCAUAGAGCACGUAAAAAUACAUACAUCCCCGCCCCUCAUGCAGUCUCAUAUGAUUAUCAUUACAUCGAUGGCGUUUAUACAAUAUUACAUACCAAUAAAAAGAAGAAUCGACUAAACUAAAAGGGAAAAAUAUAAUCCCUCUCAAAUCCUCGAGCAACUAUUCAAUUUCCCCAAACCUGUUAAACACAGUGGCAUAGCAUGGCAAGCACAAAGAGGCUAACGAAAAUAUCAUGAUAUGGUUACAAACACAAAAUGACACAACAACGAUACAACACACAAAACACCAAGUAAUUCCUAUAGACAUGUUUUCUAACAUCAUCAUAUAAGGUAUUAAAUUAUGUCAUCAGAAAACUUACUGGUUGAAGAUAGCAAACAAUAAUAGGAAAAUCAAAUAAUACCGAAUGUCAGACACGAAUUGCCACGGAUAUAUUGAGACCAAAACUUUGAAGGUAGAAAUGCAACUCAGAAUAAAAUAAUUAAGUAACUUUGUUCCGUAUGAAAAAUAUAAUGUGUCAAGAGUAUCAAGAAUAUAAGUUCAAAAGAGGAAAGGGAGUGUAUAUUGUAAGUUCUAUAUUCUUAAGAGGAGAGAGAAUAUCAAUGUCUGUCUUUUGUAUACGAGAGAGUAGAGAGCAUUAGAAGUUGUCCCCAAAUAAUAAGAAAGGGUGUUGCUUAUAUAGUAGAAAAUGACAAUGAUAAACAAGGCAAAGAAUUAUAUCUUCUAUCACAAAAUCAAUCAUACUAUGACAACUAAGGUAAAAAAAAAUAUCCACUAUCACGAGGUCAGUAAUUGACUUAAAGAAAGGAAAGAAAUUAUCAAUUACACAAUUUCUUAUCCUCAGAUAUGGCAAAUUAAAUCAGUCAAAUUGUGGAUGGAUCAAUAUUUACCAUAAAUAGACAAGUACAAAAAAUCUUUCCAAAUCAAAAAAGGGUAAGAGAGUAAAAUAAAGAGAUCAUGAAAUACUAAAAACAUAAAGAUACCACAUAAUUUCAAAUCAAAAAUAAAUAUUCUAUUAAUUACCAUAAUCUCUAAUGUCUAUUUAAAAUAUACCAUAACUAAUUAUUAAGUAAGCUGGUCAAGAAAAAUAGUACGAGACCAUAGUAAAAUUUUAAAUUCAAUGAAGCGAAGAAUAAACAAAUCAAAAAUACCAAAGCUGCAACUUGAUUUUGGGAAAAAUAUAGUCACCAUACUCAGAAUUAAUGCUAAAACAAUACAAAUCAAGGCUUCAGUCAAUACACGAAUCAAACAAGAGCACCAUAAAAAACACAUAAGAAUAUAAAGAGAAAAACACUGAUUGAAACUUAACACUAGAUUUGCACCGAACCGGAUCUCCAAAAGAGAAAUAAAUAAUCAAACACACAAAUUAACACCAAAAUAUCAUCAUAGAAAUUGAAACCAUACGAGGUCAGUAACGAUCAAAUCAGUCCAAUUAAUAAAAUCAACCAAUUUAGUCUCUAAAUCAAUUUAUCAAAAUCAUGAGUACUAUGAAUAAAUGGCACAUUAAUCAGGACAAUAAAUGAAUACUAACAGAAAUCAUACCAGGAACAUCUUCAUAACAAUUAGUCCUAAAAUAAAGACAAAAAUAUUAAUUAAGGGGUCUUGAUGCUUUGUCUGAAAUUUACCUCGCCGGAAACUAUCAAAUUUUAUCAGAGAAAGAGUAUUUAUAGGACAAGAGAGUGUUGUGGAGUUCUUGAAUUUCUAGCCUGGGAGGAGAAACGACUCACUAAAGCAGUGGUGAACGGAGAAGGUGGUUGGGCAGUUUUCAUCGACCGAAAUUGCAACUAGCAUCACUAGAGGGACUUUUAGGGGUUGGUGGUGGCACUUACUGGUGGCGGGAGAGAAGAUGAUUAUUGGUGGGAAUAGGGACGGCGGCUGGCUGUUGAUAGAGCUUCGUUAGAUGGUGGGGCUAGAAUCACGGUGGUUAGAGUGGUGGUGGUCGGCGAUGUGGAAAGGGGAGCGAAGCUCGCUGAUGGUGGGAUAGUCGGCGGUGUCCAUGGUUGUUGAUGGAGAGGGGAAGAAAGUGUAGAGAGAGAGGAUGAGAAAGAGGGAGGCGGAUCAUCUCCAAAAUCC